GUCGAGAAUCUUUCACAAUGGGAGCAACCCUGAUGGAGCGACGCCGCGUGGAGGAUAAGGUCUUCGGAUUGUAAACUCCUGUCAUGCGUGAACAAGGUUGCUUGGAUAAUACCUGAGCAAAUUGAUGGUAGCGCAAGAGGAAGAGACGGCUAACUCUGUGCCAGCAGCCGCGGUAAUACAGAGGUCUCAAGCGUUGUUCGGAAUCACUGGGCGUAAAGGGUGCGUAGGUGGCGUGGCAAGUCAGAUGUGAAAGCCCGGGGCUCAACCUCGGAACUGCAUCCGAUACUGCCAUGCUAGAGUACUGGAGGGGUGACUAGAAUUCUCGGUGUAGCAGUGAAAUGCGUAGAUAUCGAGAGGAAUACCAAAGGCGUAGGCAGGUCACUGGACAGUUACUGACACUGAGGCACGAAGGCCAGGGGAGCGAACGGGAUUAGAAACCCCAGUAGUCC
This 449-nucleotide ribosomal RNA is filed under the name uncultured bacterium. RNAcentral's name for it is "partial 16S ribosomal RNA". It matches the Rfam family "Bacterial small subunit ribosomal RNA", at positions 354 to 796 of the family's 1533-position model. The record is from RNAcentral.